GUCUAGGAUAUCUCAGCUGGUAGAGCAUAACACUCUUACUUUAAGAGUCAUGGGUUCAAGUCUCAUGCUGGGCA
Non-coding RNA from Podarcis lilfordi (Lilford's wall lizard), 74 nucleotides. The record is from the annotation of a GenBank genome assembly. Lineage: Eukaryota; Metazoa; Chordata; Lepidosauria; Squamata; Lacertidae.